This 392-nucleotide ribosomal RNA is filed under the name uncultured cyanobacterium. RNAcentral's name for it is "bacterial SSU rRNA". It matches the Rfam family "Bacterial small subunit ribosomal RNA", at positions 376 to 770 of the family's 1533-position model. The record is from RNAcentral. Lineage: Bacteria; Bacillati; Cyanobacteriota.
GGCAACCCUGACGCAGCAACGCCGCGUGUGUGAAGAAGGCCUUCGGGUCGUAAAGCACUGUCAGGAGGGAAGAAAACCGGCAAGUCCGGCGUGACGGUACCUCCUAAGGAAGCACCGGCCAACUCCGUGCCAGCAGCCGCGGUAAUACGGAGGAGGCAAGCGUUAUUCGGAAUUAUUGGGCGUAAAGCGUCCGCAGGGGGCUCAUCAAGUCUGCUGUCAAAGGUCGGAGCUCAACUCCGGUUCGGCAGUGGAAACUGGUGGGCUAGAGGGCGACAGGGGUAGAGGGAAUUCCCAGUGUAGCGGUGAAAUGCGUAGAGAUUGGGAAGAACACCGGUGGCGAAAGCGCUCUACUGGGUCGCACCUGACCCUCAGGGACGAAAGCUAAGGUAGCG